ACUCCUACGGGAGGCAGCAGUGGGGAAUAUUGCACAAUGGGGGAAACCCUGAUGCAGCCAUGCCGCGUGUGUGAAGAAGGCCUUCGGGUUGUAAAGCACUUUCAGUAGGGAGGAAGGUAGUGUAGUUAACACCUGCACUAUUUGACGUUACCUACAGAAGAAGCACCGGCUAACUCCGUGCCAGCAGCCGCGGUAAUACGGAGGGUGCGAGCGUUAAUCGGAAUUACUGGGCGUAAAGCGCAUGCAGGCGGCCUGUUAAGUCAGAUGUGAAAGCCCGGGGCUUAACCUCGGAAUUGCAUUUGAAACUGGCAGGCUAGAGUCUUGUAGAGGGGGGUAGAAUUUCAGGUGUAGCGGUGAAAUGCGUAGAGAUCUGAAGGAAUACCAGUGGCGAAAGGCGGCCCCCUGGACAAAGACUGACGACUCAGAUGCG
Molecule: ribosomal RNA, 430 nt
Filed under: uncultured bacterium
Lineage: Bacteria
Description: bacterial SSU rRNA
Rfam family: Bacterial small subunit ribosomal RNA
Source: RNAcentral